Molecule: long non-coding RNA, 562 nt
Organism: Drosophila miranda
Lineage: Eukaryota; Metazoa; Arthropoda; Insecta; Diptera; Drosophilidae
Exons: 2
Source: RefSeq, a predicted model, not a curated record
AAUGCGUCUUAAAAUAUAUUGGAAAAUACUAUGAAAAGUAUAAAACUUACGAGGUGUGUGAUCUAGACAUGGUGGCAAGAAAAUAAGAAAAUCCGAUAAUGUAUACGGUCUGACCCUCAUUUUACUGAUUGUAUAUUCUUCUUGUAGAUCCUAGCCAUCUAUCCCCUGAAUUUAAGAAACACCACGAUUUCUUUCACCUGAACUGCGCUAAAAUUUGUCAAUUUAGUGUUUUUCGGUGGAAUAUUAAUAUACCCUUGGUUUACAAUGUGUUAAUAUUUCUCCUUCAAGGAUUGGAAACCAUAUUCCUCGGGACAUGAGUCUGGCCCAUACAAAUUGAAUGUUGCCAACGCGUAUUCUUUCCAGCCAUAAAUUAAAUAAAAUAUUGAUUUAAUGUAGAACGAUAUUCAACAGCUUCAAGGUAACUCGUGCUCUGAUUUCGAACGAAUCUUCAUCCCCGUGGCACCAGCCUCUGGUGCACCAUGAAGGCAAUCGGUAUGGCAAUAAUGCCCAGAAGGAUUAAGAUUACUUCAGCGACAUCCAGCAUUGUGCAAAUUUAAGUAUU